This 220-nucleotide long non-coding RNA is filed under the name Vigna radiata. Its description in RNAcentral is "long non-coding RNA (VRAD_LNC015593)". Lineage: Eukaryota; Viridiplantae; Streptophyta; Magnoliopsida; Fabales; Fabaceae. The record is from RNAcentral.
CGAUUUUGUGCAUCUGUGAGGCUCUGUUGCUCUUGAUUCAUCUCUCGAACUGAUUGACUGUUUUCCAUGUACUGAACUGCUUGGAUGAUUCUGUGAGUAUCUGCUUUCAUUGACUCUAUGUGGAACUCUGCCUAUGCCUUUCACUGUCCAGAUUUUGUGAGAACUAUGCAAAUCUGUGUUUAUCCUUGUGAGUCGUUGUCGUUUGUCUGUUGUGUCCGUG